UAGUUUAGGAAUUAAUUGUAACAAAUUCCAUUUUUCUUUAAUGUAAUUCUUUCAUUUUCAGGGAAUUACUUUUAAACGUGUAGGUGUUCCUUCUACAAUGGAUUUAGUUAAAUCUAAAAGCAUGGAUGCCAUCAGGUAUGCUUUCUGACCUUGCUGAAUAAUUUUUGCUUUUGUAUUAGGCUAUUCAUCUUUAAGCUCUUCUAGUUCAAAUAUCAGAAAAUUUUAAUCACCAGUUUUACCAGCAGACAUUUAGUUAUAUUAAUAUAUGAAAACGUUACUCUUUCUUUUCCCAUUCAUUCUCUCAUCUUUUUUCCCUGUCAUGACCAAGAAAAUUUACUAUUUUUAAACCGUAGGUCUCUGGCUUCUGUUUCUUUUGCUGCUGUUGAUUUUUUCCGACCAUCAGCUCAGAGACUGAUAGAAGAGAAAGGAGCAGUGGAUGCAUUGGCUGCAGCAUUAGCCCACAUUUCUGGUGCAUCAAGCUUUGAACCACGGUCUUUGAUCACCUCUGAUAAGGUAGAAGUCUGUGAAAUAAUUGUAUUUGGUUGGGAAAAGGGUGAAAUUGAGCUAUAGCAGUAACUGCAUAAUCAAUGAGUGUUGCAUUUACUCCCUUCAAUAAAUUGCACUUUCUGUGCAGAGAAAAUUGUUUUGCUCUAUUAGAAAUUGACUUUCUCAUUUUCCUCCACCCCUAAAUUUUUGGGGGGGUGUGGUGGAGGCAGUAUCUGGGAUUGAACUCAGGGGCACCCGACCAAUGAGCCCCCAUCCCCAGACCUAUUUUGUAUUUUACUUAGAGACAAGGUCUCAAUGAAUUGCUUAGUGCCUCACUUUUGCUGAGGCUGGCUUUGAACUUGUGAUCCUCCUUUCUCAGCCUCCCAAGCCACUGGGAUUAAAGGCUUGCACUACCACGCUCUGCUAAAUUUUUCUUGACAGCCAUCUUCCAGAUUUUCAAGCCUAUAGAAAAAAAAAUUGAAAGAAUAUUGCAAUAAAUAAUGACCUAGAUUCAACAACUGUCAAUAUUGUGUUACAUUUGCUUUGUUUUUGAAUAUACUUUUUUUUUUUUUUUUGCUAAACCAUUUGGAAGUAAGUUGAAACAUUAUGACAUUAUUCCUAAGUAUUUGCUUCUUCUAAUGAUGAAGAUUCUUGUCUACAUAAUCACAAUAUCAUAGUCUCACCUACAAAAAUGAGCUAGGGAAUAAAGCUCAGUUGGGUAGAGUGCUUGCCUUGCAUGCACAAAGCCCUGGGUUCAAUCCCCAGCACCACCAAAAAAAUGUUAUAGUUCUACAUUAAUCAUCUUAUAUCUAAUAAAUAUGCAGAUUUGUUUAUUUCAAAAAUGUGUAUGUGGAGUAAAAUAUAGGAAAUCCUCACAUUGCACAGCACUGUGCAAACUGAAACUUGUAUAACAGAAUCUAUACUUCAUUUUGUUGCUAUGAAAUCAUGCAAAGUGAGAAACAGAUUCUGUGCAGGUGACAUCAUAACAUAGUAGAAUAUGAAGUAGGGAUUCUACGUGGAAGGGUCUGUGUGUAUAACACUGACUGACAUGGCCCACUGCCAGGUUGGUGUCAGAUAUCAAAACUUAUCACAUCAAUAAUCCCAAUGGUUUGGGCUGGGGAGGCUGAGAAUUGCGAGUUCAAAGCCAGCCUCAGCAACUGCAAGGCACUAAGCAACUCAGUGAGAUCCUGUCUCUAAAUAAAAUACAAAAUAGAGCUGAGGAUGUGGCUCCGUGGUCGAGUGUCCCUGAGUUCAAUCCCUGGUACCAAAACAAACAAACAAAAAAACACAUAAGAGCCAUUGGUAGCAAGUGGUUUAAAGAUUUACUUAUCUGGGUAUAAGUGAGCAGAAUCCCAGUAUGCAGAGACUCAUCAGUAAAAUCUCUCUGAUGUAGAGAAAGACAAGAGUGCACAUGAAUUUGGUCCUGGAACCUUUAUAAGACAAUAAUAGCCUGUUGUCAGGAUAUUAGAAUGAUAGGGCAGAGUAAUUCUGGGCAGCCAUCCCUGUAGCCGGGAGGAGGGAGAAAUGGGGCAGGGCAGAUAAAUUUGCUUGUGACAUUUGGUGUAGCACAAAUGAGUGCAAAUGGAGCAUCUGAUGGUUUUCUUGUGGCAGAUAUUAAUAGUUGUGCCAAAUGUCAUUUUGUUGGAAGUUAACCAUAUGUCCAAUUGUUUCUCCAUUUAUGUGUGUGUGUGUGUGUGUGAAAAAUCAGUAUUCUAGUUAAGGUUCUUAUGUUAUAAUUUGGUUGUUGUGUCUUUUUAGUAUCUUUUAGUCUAGAACAAUUUUCCAUCUUUUUUAUUUUUCAUGACUUUGAAUUUGUAAAGAGUUAGGUCAGUUGUCUGUUAGAAGAUCUCACUUUCUGGAUUUGUCCAAAAUUUUUCUUGCAUAAUUUAUUUUUGCCUUUAUCCAGAGUCACAAUGCAUAUGUCAAAGCUUGAUUUUUAUAUUCAGGCUAAAUGUUUUUUGGCAAGAGUAUGUUAUAUGUAAUACUGUAUACUUCAUAGUGAAUCAUAUCAAGAAGCAUAUGUCAUAUUGCUUUAGUAGUAUACUUAGUUUGGUUGCUUGUUUGUUGGCAACUGCCAUAUAUUUCCAUUUUCAAAGAAUAUUUUACUCUCUUAAUUAGUAAUCUGUGGGGUGAUACUUUUAGCAUCAAGCAGAUAUUCUAUCCCAAUAACUCACCGAAUACUUAAAUGUAUAAUAUCUUAAAACAAUAUUUAAACCAUAUUGGUUUUGUUUGUAGUACUAUGGAGUGAACUCAGGUGUGCUCUAGUUCUGGGCUGUAUCCCCAUACUGCACUCGACCCUGAGCCACAUCCUCAGCCCUAUUUUGUAUUUUUAUUUAGAGACAGGAUCUCACUCAGUUGCUUUGCUGGGGCUGGCUUUGAAUUCAUGAUUCUCCUGUCUCAGCCUCUGGAGUUCCUGGGAUUACAGGCAUGUGCCACCAUACCCGGUCCUUUUUAUUUUGAGAAAAUGUCUUACUAACUUACUGAAUCCGGCCUCAAACUUGACAUCUUCCUGUCUCUCAGCCUCCUGAGUCUUUGGGAUUACAGAUGUGUACCACUUCACCUGGCUAACCUAUUUAAUUUUACUCAAAACAUUAACCUACCUCUUCAUAAUGGCUUCCUCCUUGACUUCAUUCAUUACCAUAUUAGAGAGGUCUUUUUUUUUUUUUUUUUGUGGUGCUAGUGUUUGAACCCAAGGCUUCUACCAUUGUGCCACAUCCCCAGUCAGAGAGGUCUUUCCCAAUCACCCUGAUGCAUUCUAUAAUAGCUUGUUCUCCUUUUACAUUUCUUUAUCUUCUUCAUGAUGGUCCUUUUGCUGUUCAGUGAAGGUUUACAAAACAAGUACUUUUUGGUUAUUUAAUUAGUAGUAUACUUAAUUAGUAUAGUACUUCAAAAGUUCAGAGAGAUUUUUUUCCUUUUUUUUUAUGUUCUUCCACUCCAAGGUAACUUUUUAAAAACUCUUUCAGUGUUUCCUUUCGUCUUCACUACCUUAUCAUUCUCUGAUGCUGUUUUGUUUAAUUCUCUUAUAAAGCAUGAUGCGAAGAAUUAAAUAUAGUCUUUACAACACUACACAGAAAGAUGAUACUUUCAAAGAUCUAUAAACAUUAGUCUUUUUUUUUUAUUUGUUGAUAGACCUUUAUUUUAUUUAUGUAUUUAUAUGUGGUGCUGAGAAUCGAACCUAGUGCCUCACACAUGCCAGGCAAGUGUGCUACCACUGAGCCCCAGCCCCAGCCCCUAAACAUUAGUCUUUUAAUUUAGUUUCAGAGAAGUUAUUUUUUAGCAGCCAUGUUAUACUGUUGGUUCAUAAGAAAUGCAGUUAAGUCAUAUAGGUCUAUAGAGAUAGAACUUCAUUGUCCUGUGCUGCUACUGAUUUUUUUCCCAAACAUAAUGUGAGUUUUUUUUUUUUUUCCCUUAAGGGAUUUGUGACAAUGACUCUGGAAAGCCCUGAAGAAAUACAGAAUGUCACCUGUGCUUGGAAAGAACUUAACAGAAAGCUGAGUAGUAAUGCUGUGUCCCAAAUUACAAGAAUGUGCCUCCUAAAAGGAAAUAUGGUAGGCUUUUCUAGAUAAUCCAAAAGAUUUUUAAUCAAUGACCACAAGUAUUUAUAAGCAAUAGCCUAAUGGGAUGAAUAAUUCUAUUUUUCUAAGUGUUGGUUUGUUUCCAGUUGUGAAUUUGGGGAAUUAUAUAAUUAAUUCAUUUCUCUAGAGCUAUAAGUCAUUCUGCGUGGUUUGUCUUUCUGUUCCCUGCCCCGCCCCCACAGUGCAAACCAAGGGGAACAAACCAAGAGUCUUGUGCAUGCUCUACCUCUAAGCCACAUUUCCAACCCUGGUUUGAUUAUCUAAAACCCAAGUUAUCUAAGCUUCUGUUUUGGUAUAAAUAUCGUGUAGUUGUGUGUGUUUAUUUUCUAAGAGUAAAUAAUUGCAACAGUUAAAUAGCUAUACAGUUUAGACAACACACAAUAUGUCUGUUAUAAUUAACCUGCUAUUUAUUUGUUGUUAAUUUUAAUAGUAUGAAUUAAAUAAGUAUUUCAACAUUUAUUUAUAUAGCAUAUAAAACUGUAAUCUUUUUUUUUUGGUAUUGGGAAUUGAACCCAGGGUGCUUUACAUUGAUACAUUCCCCAGUCCUUUUGAGUUUUUAUUUUGUGAUAGGGUUUUGCUAAGUUGCUAAGGCUAGUCUUGAACUUGCAAGCCUCCUGAGUUGCUGGGAUUAGAGGUGUGUGCCACUGUGCUCGUAAAAGUGUAAUUUUAGUGACUGUGAUUUCUUCUAAUGGUUUUGAGAAAAGAUGUUAUAUUUAUUUAUCUCACAUUGCUACGUAGGUAGGCUUAUUCUAACAUAGAAUUUAUUAACUAAAUUGUUUAUUGGAAAUAAUCAUCUUUUUAAAGGUUUACUGUUAUUUCUCCUCAACACAGAUUUGAAGCAAAUAGGGAAAACAUACAAACAUUAACAAAAAAACAUAGAGGAGAGGUAAAGCAGAUCCAUAGACCAAACUAGUUAUUGAGUAUUAAAUUAACUUUCAACCAGGACUGAAGAGGAAACAUCUCUGGCUACAUUAGUAUCAUUAUAUGAUAAAUAUUCUACCACUUUUUUUUUUUUUUGUUUUGUUUUGUUUGUUUUUGUGGUUCUGGGGAUUAGAACUCAGGGCUUUCUGCAUGCAAGGCGUGCAUUUUACCAACUAAGUUAUAGCCCCGCCCAAAUUUCUACCUUUUUGACAGAAGCUUUCUGGCUCUAAAUUUUAUUUUAUUUGAAAUUAAAAAAUUAUGUUUAUUUUUGAGAUACGGGGGAUCCAACCCAAAGCUGUCUGCAUGUUAGGCAAGGAUUCUACCAUGUGAGUUAUAUCUCUACUCCCUGCCCCUCCCUCUCUCCCUCCCUCUCUCUUUGUCUUUUUUGGUACUGGGGAUUGAACCCAGAUUGUUUUUUUUUUUUUUUUUUUUUAAUGAGGUAACUUUUAUAUAUAUCUAUCUAUCUUUAUUUUAUUCGUUUUUAAAGAAUUUAUUAGAAGGAUCAUUUUAUAAGGGACAUGGAAUAAAAUUAUAGUGAUUGAAAAAAUAAUACUAGAGAAUAUUCUAGAGUCUUAUUAGUAUAUUCUUUUUUAAAAAAUAUUAUUUUUUUAAUAUUUAUUUUUUAGUUGCAGUUGGACACAAUAUCUUUAUUUUAUUUAUUUAUUUUAUCUGGUGCUGAGGAUCGAACCCAGGGCCUCGCAUGUGCUAGAAAAGUGCUCUACUGCUGAGCCACAACCCCAGCCCCAGUAGAUUCUUAUUAGAUAUUGUAUUUAGUUACUUUUCUGAUUUAGAAAAUACAUUAAGCAGAUACUCUGGAAUACACUUAAUAUUUUUUAUAGCAAAGAUUAUCAGCAAAUAUUAGUUUAUUAGUAAAAAUUAACUCAUGCAUCUAGAUAAAAAUAUUUUUAUUUUGCUUGCUUUUAGGGUGUUUGCUUUGAUGUUCCUACAACCGAGUCAGAAAAGUUACAGGUAUUUAAAAAAAAUUUUUAUCUCCUUCUCUAAAAGAUUGUUUUGAAAAACAUAAUUACUCUAUCAUUAUCAUGCCUAAGUCAGUUAAGAAUUCCUUAAUAUGAAAUAUCCAGUCUGUCUCAUAAUCAAAAAUUUUUUAUUAUAAAUAUUUUAAUCAAAUAAAAUGAUAGAAUUGUCUGAAUUCCCAUGUUCAUGUCAUCAGCUUCAGCUAUUCAUGGCUUGUGUGGUUUUUUGUUUGUUUGUUUGGUACCAGGGAUUGAACUCAGGGGCAUUUGCCCACUGAGCCACAUCCCCAGCCCAUUUUUUUUCCCCCAGCCCUUUUUUGUAUUUUAUUUUGAGAUAGGAUAUCACUGAGUUGCUUAGCGCAUUCCUUUUUGCAUCCUGCCUCAGCCUCCCAAGCCUCUGGGAUUUUAGGCAUUCACCACUGUGCCCGGCUCAUGGCUAGUUUUGUUUCAUCUCUGUUUCUAUCCACUUCCCUGUGUCUUUUAAGGCAUUCUAUCAUUUCAACCAUAAAUAUUUUCAUAUAUUUAAAAAGUAUACCUGUAGUAUCAUAUUUAAAUCUUCCGAAACAAUAAUCCCUAAAUAUUUUGUAUUUAAAUUUCCCCUGUUUUCUCCCCCAUUUUUCCUCCUGGUGCUGGGGAUUGAUCCAAGGGCCUCACACAUGCUAGUCAAGUGUUCUUCAACUGAGCUACACCACCAGCACUCCAGAAAAUUUUUCAUUAAUAAAGUCCAUAAAGUUUAUAUAUUGUAAUUUGUUGUUUUCUAUUUCUCUUUCAAUUUGUAGGAUGUCCUUUCUUUUUCCAAAAAAUUUCCUUGUAUUUUAUAUGUUGAAGAAACAGGUCCACUAGAGUCCAAAAAUUUGUUAUAUACCUUUGUAUAUUUAUAUAGUCACAUAUUUUGAGUCAAUAAUAGGAUUAAUUAUGAAGUCUUUUUUUUAUUUUUGGUACCAGGGAUUGACUCAGUGACACUCAACCACUGAGCCACAUCCCCAGCCCUAUUUUGUAUUUUAUUUAGAGACAGGGUCUCACUGAGUUGCUUAGUGCCUCACUGUUGCUGAGGCUGGGUUUGAACUCAUGAUCCUCCUGAUCCAGCCUCCUGAACCCCUGGGAUUACAGGCCUGAGCCACUGUGCCCAGCAAUUUUGAAGUCUUUUUAAAUAUUAGCAUUAUAUCAUGGAUACAUUCUACAUCAAUUAUAGAUACUCUUUUUUUGUUGGGGGGUGGGUAUUGGGAAUUGAACCCAGGGGGCACUUUACCGCUGAGCUAUAUUCCUUGCCUCCCCCUACCCACCUUUUUUUUUUUUUUUUUAGUUGUAGAUGGACACAGAACCUUUUCUAUUUAUGUCUAUGUGGUGCUGAGGAUAGAACCCAGUGCCUCACACAUGCUAGGCAAGCACUCUACCACAGAGCUAUAACCCCAGCCUUUUUUAAUUUUGAGCCAGGGUCUCUUUAAGUUGCUGAGGCUGUCCUCAAAUUUGGGAUCCUCCUGUCUUGCCCUCCCAGGUCACUGGGAUUACAGGAAUGUGCCACCAUGCCUGGCUACAGUUGCUUAUUUUUUAUGAUGCCCUGGUAUGGAGGCUCAACUUUGAUCACCAGUGUUCUGUUUUCUGAAAUUUAGACUAUUUCCAAUUUAUUAUUAUAAAUAAAACUGCCCAGAAUAUUGAUAUAAGUAAUUCUUCCUGCAUUGCCAUGUUUAAUCUCUUUAAGAUGAAUUUUUUAAUAUGACUGUUGGCCAAAAGGUUUGUGCAUUUUUUUUAAUGUUUAUUUUUUAGUUGUAGUUGGACAUAAUACCUUUAUUUUUUAUUUUUUUUUUUUUAAAUAUUUAUUUAUUUAGUUUUCCGUGGACACAACAUUUUUGUUUGUAUGUGGUGCUGAGGAUCGAACCCGGGCCGCACGCAUGCCAGGCAAGUGCGCUACCGCUUGAGCCACAUCCCCAGCCCCUAUUUUUUAUUUUUAUUGACUUAUUUUUAUGUCAGGAUGAGGAUCACACCCAGGCUCUUGCACGUGUGAGGCAAAUGCUCUACCGCUGAGCCAAAACCCCAGCCCUGGUUUGUGCAUUUUUAAGACUGUGCUCAUAUGUUGCCAAACCUACCAAUGAUUUAUGUGGGUGUUUUUCUCUUCUCAUUCUUAUCAACAGGGCAUUUUACAUUGACUUCCCUUGGCAACUUGUGCUCAUAAUGAACAAUAGUUAUUACCAAGAUAACACAUUGCACUGCUCUUAUGAGCUGCCUUUUUUUUUUUUUUUUUUAGGGGAACACUAAGGAUUGAACCCAGGGCAAGCAUUCUACUACUGAGCACUGUCUCCAUACCACUGAUUCAUGUAUCUUGAGUUGAUUACUCUAGUAAAUUGUUUUUAGUAGCUAUAUUUUUUAGUUCCUGGUUACUGUUGACAGAUUUCUAAUCCCUGUUAUCGGCCGUAAUAUAUCUUGUUUUUGUCAGUAUACCUCUUUAAAAUAAUGGAAUGCUUAUUAAUGCUCUAUUUCUUUGUCCUAAGAAAGCAGAUAGCAGUCUCCUUUAGACCGUCUAAAUUGAUGAGUUUAAAGUCUUGAAAUGGGUCAGAGAGUUCUCCUGAAACUAAAGCUUAGUAACUUUAGUCAUUGAACGUGUUUUCUUUUUCUUUUUUUAAAAUAUUUAUUUAUUUGGUGUAGAUGGACACAACACAAUGCCUUUAUUUUUAUGUGGUACUGAGGAUCGAACCCGGGUCCCGCCUGUGCUAGGCAAGCGCUCUACCGCUGAGCCACAAUCCCAGCCCUGAACAUGUUUUCUUUUUGCUUAUUUUUUGGUUUUCAUUUUUGUUCCAGACACUUUGGAUUUAAGUGAUAGAUGAUCUUUGGCUAACAGAUAAAGGACAUGCAAAAGUAUUCUUUGCUUGCUUAUGGUUUCAAUUUUGCAUUUCUAUUAAUCCUGUAAAUUCUUCUAACAGGCAGAGUGGCAUGAUUCAGAUUGGAUACUCUCAGUGCCAGCCAAAUUACCUGAAAUCGAAGAGUAUUAUGAUGGAAAUACAUCUUCUAAUUCCAGACAAAGGAGUAGUGGCUGGUCAAGUGGCAGGUCUGGCCGGUCAGGUCGAUCAGGUGGUCGAUCUGGUGGCCGGUCAGGUAGACCGAGUCGACAGGGAAGUCGGUCAGGAAGUCGACAAGAUGGUAGAAGACGAAGUGGGAACAGAAAUCGAUCAAGAAGCGGGGGCCACAAACGGAGUUUUGACUGAGCAUUUGAUAGUUAAUCUACCAGUGUGAGCUUGCCUAUGUCUGCCUAAUCAUGUACAUUAUCCACCAAAAAUUAGGUCAUCAUAGUUGAGGUGUGUGUCUGCUGUUUGCAAAGAAGUUGGUCGUAUUUUUUUAAAAAGUAUUUCACAAAAAUGGUUGUAAACAAAUCUACUUAUCCAGUUAUAACUUUGAAUAAAAAAAAC
RNAcentral lists this long non-coding RNA (9354 nucleotides) under Marmota monax (woodchuck). The stretch from base 1186 to 1259 matches the Rfam family "tRNA". Lineage: Eukaryota; Metazoa; Chordata; Mammalia; Rodentia; Sciuridae. The record is from RNAcentral.